Molecule: ribosomal RNA, 494 nt
Filed under: uncultured bacterium
Lineage: Bacteria
Description: partial 16S ribosomal RNA
Rfam family: Bacterial small subunit ribosomal RNA
Source: RNAcentral
GACGAACGCUGGCGGCGCGCUUAACACUUGCAAGUCGAACGGAAAGGCCUGCUUUCCCUUGUGGAUUGCGGGUACUCGAGUGGCGAACGGGUGAGUAACACGUGAGUGAUCUGCCCCCAACUUGGGUAUAAGCCUGGGAAACUGGGUCUAAUUCCCGAUAGGACUGCAGGGUGGUGCCUGUGGUGGAAAACGAUUUUCUAGUGGUUGGGGAUGAGCUCGCGGCCUAUCAGCUUGUUGGUGGGGUAAUGGACUACCAAGGCGGCGACGGGUAGCCGGCCUGAGAGGGUGGACGGCCACAUUGGGACUGAGAUACGGCCCAGACUCCUACGGGAGGCAGCAGUGGGGAAUAUUGCACAAUGGGCGGAAGCCUGAUGCAGCGACGCCGCGUGGGGGAUGACGGCCUUCGGGUUGUAAACUCCUUUCGACCGCGAGGAAGCCACCUGGUUGGAAGGGUGGUGACGGUAGUGGUAGAAGAAGCACCGGCUAACUACGUG